CGUUAUAUUCAUGGCUCACCAAAACCCUCAGCAUCAUCUUCGUGGUGAUGAUGAUGAUUCCCUGGAUCCUCGAGUUGCGAAGGAUCUUGACGAAAUGCUUCCUGCUUCUGAUUCUCAAGUUGUUACCAACGAGCCUGCAAAAGCAUCACUUGGUAUGGUGUCUUUUCACACUUCAAUUUUUUCUUCUUAUCUCCUCAUACCUGUUGCUAUAUAUGGUUCUUCGCAUGUAUAAACAAAAUCUAAUCCUGGGUUGAUUUAAACAUGACCAACUUGCCCGAAUUUGUAUAUAUUAUGCAUGAUUAUUCAAGCAUAAUAUGCUCAAACCGGUGAUAUUGGUGCCACAGAAACUCACCUCAGAGAGGCAUGAGGAUCGAUGCGCAUCUAUUUCUCAUAUCAGUUCUGAGAGCAAAGGCAUAAAGUAAAGCCUUUGGUCUUUAUGAGGGGAGAGGUUGCUAGGAUUCUUUGAUGCGUAUUUAUUUCAAAGUAAUGAGAGAGAAAACGAGAGGUAUGCCAUGCCACAGUCAGGGUUCCUCUCUAUUUUCUCCUCUCUCCCUCAAUUUUUACCUCAAAGGAGCUAGAUAACAUCAGCGCAAGACACAGCUGUUCUCAGAUAAAGCAAGGACUUUGACUGAAAGGCCUGCAAAAGGAGAAAGAGUUAGAUAAAAGCCUCCGAUGGAGAUGACGACUCUCAAGUCUCAUCGGAACUGAUCCUUUAUUUUAUCAGAUCCACGUUGAAGGAUGAAGAGCAAGCUCGAGAUCUUGAUGAUGCCGUAAUCAAUUCUACUCACUCCCUUAGCUCGUACUCAACAAGAUCUAUCACAGACAGUUUUAGCGAUGUUUUUACUACUCCAAAAGCUGUUUUUUCUCCCGAAAUCUCAGUCCAGCAAAUCAAUCGUUCGAGGUCUAAUGAUACUUCCAUUAAUAUCCCUGUGACUCCUACUCCUGCAUCAUCACCGCACGAACACAACAAGCUGGGCUUCAUAGUUUUUCCUGUUGAACUUCUAAAUGCUAUAAUCAGUCUUGCUGUUUCAUCAAAGGCAAAAGAUAACCAGGUUCUGAUUUAUGUUGCGGUGGCUUGUUCUACACUGGCUUUCUCGAUUUCUUCAACUGCUCUUGUGGUGCUUAAGAAAAGGCCUCCGAUGGCGAAGAAGAUGCAAAAAGCUGCGUUUCUGAUCGGCACGUUUGGAUUCUUGGGAAUGAUGGGCAUGCUUUUGCCUUCAAGCAUCAGUUGGUGGUUCACUAUCUCAGCCUUCCUUGUUUGUGUGCUGAUGUUUGCCGUUGCAAAUUUGAUUGGGCGAGAGGAACCUGGUUGAGCUAUUGUCGUUGCCCUUGUCCAUAAGUCUUUCUUGGUUCUUGUCUUAGUAUGGUUCUCAUGAAGACCACUUGAUUUUCCUGUAACAUAAAUAAUGCAAAUUGAUGUGCAUAUGGACAAAGUGAUAUCUCCGUUGUUCUCUUAA
Molecule: RNA transcript, 1457 nt
Organism: Neltuma alba
Lineage: Eukaryota; Viridiplantae; Streptophyta; Magnoliopsida; Fabales; Fabaceae
Exons: 3
Source: RefSeq, a predicted model, not a curated record